UACGGAGGGGGCAAGCGUUGUCCGGACUUACUGGGCGUAAAGGGUGCGUAGGUGGCCUGCUGCGUCGGUGCUGAAAGCGCCCGGCUUAACCGGGCGAGGCGUGCCGAUACGAGCGGGCUUGAGCCUCGGAGAGGGCGGUGGAACUCCUGGUGUAGUGGUGAAAUGCGUAGAGAUCAGGAAGAACACCCGUGGCGCAAGCGACCGCCUGGCCGAGCGCUGACACUGAGGCACGAGAGCGUGGGGAGCGAACCGG
This 253-nucleotide ribosomal RNA is filed under the name uncultured bacterium. RNAcentral describes it as "partial 16S ribosomal RNA". It matches the Rfam family "Bacterial small subunit ribosomal RNA", at positions 524 to 776 of the family's 1533-position model. The record is from RNAcentral.